This 768-nucleotide long non-coding RNA is filed under the name Homo sapiens (human). RNAcentral's name for it is "HSALNT0123748". The record is from RNAcentral. Lineage: Eukaryota; Metazoa; Chordata; Mammalia; Primates; Hominidae.
CCCGGGGCUCGGGCGCCUAGGCAAGGAACCCCCGAGCCGGGAGAGCCCCUCGGCGCUGCCCUUGCCAGGACGCCAGUAGAGCUGGCAGCGGAGUCUGCCGCUCCCGCCCUCAGAGCCGCGGCGGCGGGAGCAGAAAGCCGCGGCGGCAAAAAGCGGCGGCGGGGGCAAAAAGCCGCGGCGGCAGGGGGCAAAAUGCCGCGGGAGCAAAAAGCCGCGGCGGCGGGGGCAGAAAGUCGCGGCGGCGGGGGGCAAAAAGCCGCGGCGGCGGGGGGCAAAAAGCCGUGGCAGCAGAAAGCCGCGGCGGCGGGCGCAAAAAGCCGCGGCGUCGGGGGCUAAAAGCCGCAAAAAGCCGCGGAGGGGGGAGCGAAAAGCAGUGGGAGCUGGGGCAAAAAACCACAAAAAGCCGAGGCAGCGGCGGCAGAAAACCUCGGCAGCGGGGGCAAAAAGCUGCAGCGGCAAAAAGCGGCGACGGGGGCAAAAAGCCGCGGUGGCAAAAAUGCGCGGCGGCGGGGGAAAAAGCCGCGGCGGAGUGGGGCGAAAAGCAGUGGGAGCUGGGGCAAAAAAACCACAAAAAGCCGCGGCAGCGGCGGCAGAAAACCUCGGCAGCGGGGGCAAAAAGCCACGGUGGCGGGGGUAAAAAGCAGCGGUGGCAAGAAGCCGCGACGGUGGGGGCAAGAAGCCGCGGCGGCCCAGGCAAAAGGCCGCAAAAGCCGCGGCGACGGGGGCGAAAAGCCGCGGCGGCGGAGGCAAAAAGCUGCAAAAGCCGCG